RNAcentral lists this ribosomal RNA (485 nucleotides) under uncultured Glomeromycotina. Its description in RNAcentral is "SSU rRNA". It matches the Rfam family "Eukaryotic small subunit ribosomal RNA", at positions 591 to 1078 of the family's 1831-position model. Lineage: Eukaryota; Fungi; Glomeromycota. The record is from RNAcentral.
CCAAUAGCGUAUAUUAAAGUUGUUGCAGUUAAAAAGCUCGUAGUUGAAUUUCGGGGUCAGUAGGUCGGUCGUGCCACUGGUAUGAACUGGUUUUACUGAUUCCUCCCUCUUGAAGAACUAUAAUGUCAUUAAUUUGGUGUUGCAGGAAAUCAGGACUGUUACUUUGAAAAAAUUAGAGUGUUUAAAGCAGGCUUACGCUUGAAUACAUUAGCAUGGAAUAAUGAAAUAGGACGUUAAUUCUAUUUUGUUGGUUUCUAGGGUCGACGUAAUGAUUAAUAGGGAUGGUUGGGGGCAUUAGUAUUCAAUUGUCAGAGGUGAAAUUCUUGGAUUUAUUGAAGACUAACUACUGCGAAAGCAUUUGCCAAGGAUGUUUUCAUUAAUCAAGAACGAAAGUUAGGGGAUCGAAGACGAUCAGAUACCGUCGUAGUCUUAACCAUAAAUUAUGCCGACUAGGGAUCGGAUGAUGUUAAUUUUUUAAUGACUCA